Pantherophis guttatus is the source of this 1243-nucleotide long non-coding RNA. RefSeq lists it as uncharacterized. The record is from RefSeq and is a predicted model, not a curated record. NCBI's taxonomy places the organism in Eukaryota, Metazoa, Chordata, Lepidosauria, Squamata, Colubridae.
UAUUGGCCACGAGCUGCGGAGCGAAGCCCCGGCUGAGGCACCUCGCGGUAGUAAAGCAAAUAAGCGCUCGGCUUCCCCCUGGAAACUGCUGCAAAACCCGGAGCUGGACUUUCGGACGAGAGUGGCUCCUCCCUUGCUCGUGCCCGCCUGCGCACUUCAAGGGUGUGUGUGUGGAGGAUAGGCGGGCGGCGAAUUGCCCGGAGUGGAUUCGCAAUCCUAAACGCUACGAGGACCUUCCGCGUAUCCGCGAGGCAGGAGAAGAGAAGCAAGACUACUCUUUCCUACAAUAUAUUUUGUGAAAAGGACGGUCACGAAGAUGGCUUUCCGCGAAAAUUCCUUCCCAAGAGAACCCUAAGAUCCUAGAUCCUAUGCUAACAGAGGAUGAAUGCAGCAUUCAUACCAGGAAAUUUGGAAAACUGACUUCCAAAAUCGUGAACCAGGAACAAGUUGACUCCCAUCUCUCAUUCCACCAUGUUUUGAGCACAGCAGCCAAUUAUUGGUACCAUAAAGAGGCAAUUUGGCUUAGUGGUCAAGCACCAGGCUAGAAAACGGAAGACCGUGAAUCCAAGUCCAACCUUUCCCAUGAAAGCCAGCUGAGUGACUUUGGGCCAGUCUUUUUCUCAGCCCAAUUCAUCUCACAGAUUGCUGUUGUGGGGAAGAUAGGAGGAAGGUGAGAUGGAUAGGUUCACCACCUUGUAAAAACAAUAAGGGCAGGAUUUAAAUAAAUAAUAUAAAAGGACAAAUUAUAAACAUUUUGAGGGAUCCUUGAUGCUCCCUGAACUUGGUUGUUUUCUUGCAGACAUUUCUUUACCCAAGCUAGGUACCUAGUUUGUUACCUAGUUUGUGUGUUAUCCACACUUGAACAUAUUCUAGUGAAAGAAGUGAGUUCAGAAGGUCCUGUUUUAUCCUGGUAGAGAGGACAAACUCCAAAGCUCCAAAGGAAGCUGAAAUUGAUCAAUAUGAAAUAAUUGAAACAAAUGGUGGUGGCCAAUAGGAGUACUAAUGCAUAGGAAGGAAAGAACAAAGAAAUUGGUGGCUUUGGUCAUUAAAGAAUUUGCCCCCUUGUGUAUAUUUGAUACAUAUUUUGUUGCCUUUUUAUUGUGUUUUAAAUGCAACGUUUUAUAAUCAAUUACAUAAUUUUGUAAUUAGCAUGGUUCACUUUCUCUCUAUGGCAAACCUAUAAUCUCCAUCAUUAUCACUUAAUGUAAAUAAGAUGACCUACUAAACUAUUAAGAAAUUUGAA